Anthonomus grandis grandis is the source of this 437-nucleotide long non-coding RNA. RefSeq lists it as uncharacterized. NCBI's taxonomy places the organism in Eukaryota, Metazoa, Arthropoda, Insecta, Coleoptera, Curculionidae. The transcript has 2 exons. The record is from RefSeq and is a predicted model, not a curated record.
GUUAGUCGCAAUUUAAACUUUGUUGUCUCUACAACAAUGAAAUCAUCAAUAUUAAUAUUUGGCUUUUGUAUUUUGGUGUUUGUGUAUACUAUAGAAAAUUAUCCAUUGGAUGAAAAUGGUUUAAUGAAUAUUUCCAAAAUAGAGUUCCUGCACCAUCAAUAUGAAAGUUCAAAUUUCACAAGAUACAACAUCAGAGAAAGAGAUGACCACCAGGCAAGAAUACAAAAUAUUUUCCAAACAAGAUUUUCAAGUGAAAAACCACAUACUUCAAAAAACGGUACUGAUGAUACCCUAAUUAGAGUGUAUAGUCGUAAAUGUAAAUGUAAAAAGGGCUACAUUUGUGAUCGAUAUGGCAAAUGCAAAGAGGACUGGAGUUAGCAACAAAACAAAUUGUUAAAAGUAUUUUUAAAUUAAAUAAAUAUAAAAUUUAACAACUU